RNAcentral lists this ribosomal RNA (1254 nucleotides) under Triticum aestivum (bread wheat). RNAcentral's name for it is "partial small subunit ribosomal RNA". Lineage: Eukaryota; Viridiplantae; Streptophyta; Magnoliopsida; Poales; Poaceae. The record is from RNAcentral.
AUGGGCCCAGAUUCCGCAAAAUGGCUAGAGGCCAUGAAAUCUGAGAUGGGAUCCAUGUAUGAGAACAAAGUAUGGACUUUGGUUGACUUGCCCGAUGAUCGACAAGCCAUUGAGAAUAAAUGGAUCUUUAAGAAGAAGACUGACGCUGAUGGUAAUGUAACUGUCUAUAAAGCUCGACUUGUUGCGAAAGGUUUUCGACAAGUUCAAGGGGUUGACUAUGAUGAGACUUUCUCACCUGUAGCGAUGCUUAAGUCUGUCCGAAUCAUGUUAGCUAUUGCUGCAUUUUAUGAUUAUGAAAUUUGGCAAAUGGAUGUCAAAACUGCAUUCUUGAAUGGAUUUCUGGAAGAAGAGUUGUAUAUGAUGCAGCCAGAAGGUUUUGUUGAUCCAAAAGGUGCUAACAAAGUGUGCAAGCUCCAGCGAUCCAUUUAUGGACUGGUGCAAGCAUCUCGGAGUUGGAAUAAACGCUUUGAUAGUGUGAUCAAAGCAUAUGGUUUUAUACAGACUUUUGGAGAAGCCUGUAUUUACAAUAAAGUGAGUGUGAGCUCUGUAGCAUUUUUGAUAUUAUAUGUAGAUGACAUAUUAUUAAUUGGAAAUGAUAUAGAAUUACUGGAUAGCAUAAAGGGAUACUUGAAUAAAAGUUUUUCAAUGAAAGACCUCGGUGAAGCAGCUUACAUAUUAGGCAUCAAGAUUUAUAGAGAUAGAUCAAGACGCUUAAUAGGACUUUCACAAAGCACAUACCUUGAUAAAAUUUUGAAAAAGUUCAAAAUGGAUCAGGCAAAGAAAGGGUUCUUGCCCGUGCUACAAGGUGUGAAGUUGAGUCAGACUCAAUGCCCGACCACAACAGAAGAUAGAGAGAAAAUGAAAGAUGUUCCCUAUGCUUCAGCCAUAGGCUCUAUCAUGUAUGCAAUGCUAUGUACCAGACCUGACGUAUGCUUAGCAAUAAGCUUGGCAGGAAGGUACCAAAGUAAUCCAGGAGAGGAUCACUGGACAGCGGUCAAGAACAUCCUGAAAUACCUGAAAAGGACUAAGGAUAUGUUUCUCGUAUAUGGAGGUGACAAAGAGCUAGUCGUGAAUGGUUACGUCGAUGCAAGCUUUGACACUGAUCUGAACGAUUCUAAAUCGCAAACCGGAUACGUAUUUUUAUUAAACGGUGGAGCUGUAAGUUGGUGCAGUUCUAAACAAAGCGUCGUGGCGGGAUCUACAUGUGAAGCGGAGUACAUAGCCGCUUCAGAAGCAGCAAAUAAAGGAGUCUAG